GUAUUAUCAGUGCUACCAACUCACAGAUAAGAGCGAUGUUUACAGCUUUGGUGUGGUCUUGAUUGAGCUGAUAUCAUCUUUACAGGCAGUGGACACUAACAGGCAUAGGCUUGACAUCAAUUUGGCCAACAUGGCAGUUAACAAAAUCCAAAAUCAUGCAGUAAAUGAGUUGAUAGAUCCAUGUCUUGGUUUUGAAAAGGAUUCUGCAGUGAGGAAGAUGGCAACAUCCAUUGCAGAAUUGGCUUUCCGAUGCUUGCAACAGGAGAGGGAUAUGAGGCCUACUAUGAGAGAAGUCUUAGAGGCACUGAAAAGAAUUGAGAAAGAAAAUUAUGUAUCAGAGAAAGCGGAUGUUGUGGAUAUUAAGGAGGAUGAUGUUGGGCUUUUGAAUAAUGUACCUCCAUUUUCACCAGACUCGAUUGGGACGACUGACAAAUGGGUUAGCAGCUCUACUACUACUACUACUAAUACUUCUAGUAGUUGAGAUUUGCCAUCCUUUUUUUUUCCCCCCCUUAAAACCUGAAAAUAGGUGUUUGAAGUGUUGUACACUCACUAUUAAAUGCCAUUGAGUGGGUUAAAGUGUCACUAUCUUUCCAUUUGCUUGGUUUUGUUUUUAGUAGACUAAGUUCAGGCAAUGUACAUAUUGAAUCAUCGAUUACCAGUCGCAAUGUUAUUCUUCAUUGAGAUGUAUUUAUACCUCUUUAAUGGUGGUUUUGAAUAUAAUAUACAUUUGAGUUUCGACUCGGAGAAGUAAUUUGCACUUGAACCUGGUGGAAGACAUUCUAAAAUUUUGUUCCUUUGUGUAUCUUUUGUAACAGGAGAAGAUGAUGAGAACGCUGUGACCAGAGUUCUUGCGAGCUAGGAUGGCAAUAUUUAUCAGUAAUUUUGGUAAAUAUGAUUCCAGUUUUGUGAUCUCCAGAGCAAUUGCUCAUGUUUGAGGCUUUUUCUGCUACAAAAUUUGCUCCUUUUCGUCAAUAAGUAGCGCUGCAAGGCACACUAACAAUCCUUAAUAAUGGGAAUCCGUCGUCCUCGCUGGUCUGGGAUGCAGCAACCGGGAGAUGUACAACCUUUUUUUUUUUCUUUUGAGC
This 1085-nucleotide unclassified non-coding RNA is filed under the name Hevea brasiliensis (rubber tree). The record is from RNAcentral. Lineage: Eukaryota; Viridiplantae; Streptophyta; Magnoliopsida; Malpighiales; Euphorbiaceae.